AGGACGAACGCUGGCGGCGCGCUUAACACAUGCAAGUCGAGCGGUAAGGCCUUUCGGGGUACACGAGCGGCGAACGGGUGAGUAACACGUGGGUGAUCUGCCCUGCACUUCGGGAUAAGCCUGGGAAACUGGGUCUAAUACCGGAUAUGACCUCCUAUCGCAUGGUGGGUGGUGGAAAGAUUUAUCGGUGCAGGAUGGGCCCGCGGCCUAUCAGCUUGUUGGUGGGUAAUGGCCUACCAAGGCGACGACGGGUAGCCGACCUGAGAGGGUGACCGGCCACACUGGGACUGAGACACGGCCCAGACUCCUACGGGAGGCAGCAGUGGGGAAUAUUGCACAAUGGGCGAAAGCCUGAUGCAGCGACGCCGCGUGAGGAUGACGGCCUUCGGGUUCGUUAAACCGUCUUUACGAGUCGAGGACGAAGCGCAAGUGACGGUACCUGCGAGAAGAAGCGACCGGCUAACGUACGUGACCCAGCCGAGCCGACGGUAAUCCGUGACGCGGCGUGGACGAA
RNAcentral lists this ribosomal RNA (514 nucleotides) under uncultured soil bacterium. RNAcentral's name for it is "bacterial SSU rRNA". It matches the Rfam family "Bacterial small subunit ribosomal RNA", at positions 33 to 541 of the family's 1533-position model. The record is from RNAcentral.